Molecule: non-coding RNA, 383 nt
Organism: Firmicutes bacterium CAG:646
Lineage: Bacteria; Bacillati; Bacillota
Rfam family: Bacterial RNase P class A
About the family: Ribonuclease P (RNase P) is a ubiquitous endoribonuclease, found in archaea, bacteria and eukarya as well as chloroplasts and mitochondria. Its best characterised activity is the generation of mature 5'-ends of tRNAs by cleaving the 5'-leader elements of precursor-tRNAs.
Source: Rfam
UAAGUAGAAUAAAUGGUCGCAGCUGACGGAUCCGAAAGGUGUCAGGUGAGGAAAGUCCGGGCUUCGCAGGGCAGGAUGCCGGAUAACGUCCGGUGGAGGUGACUCCAAGGCCAGUGCAACAGAAAUAUACCGCGUUAGCAAUGAGCCGUGCAGACUGGUCUGUAGGGUUCAUUGCUAACGUAAGGGUGGAAAGGCAGUGUAAGAGACUACCGCCUCUCUGGUAACAGCGAGGGCACAUGUAAACCCCAUCCGAAGCAAGACCGAAUAAAAGCAAUGUGGCUGCCCGUCACGCUUUUAGGUGGGUCGCUGAAGCUUGUUGGUAACAGCAGGAUUAGAUAGAUGACCAUUCACGACAUAACCCGGCUUAUCGUUCUGCUUACGAG